GGUGGCUUAGUGGUUAGAGCGUCCGCCUCAGAUGCUGGAGGUCGCAGGUUUGAAAUCCGGAUGAGUCA
Potamilus streckersoni is the source of this 68-nucleotide non-coding RNA. The record is from the annotation of a GenBank genome assembly. Lineage: Eukaryota; Metazoa; Mollusca; Bivalvia; Unionida; Unionidae.